GGGGGUGACAGGUCUCGACUCGGGUAGUUGAGAGAUUCGCCGCAUGCCGAGGCAGUCGGGUGGCCUCGUAAAAACCCGGCAAAAAACAAAUGCUAAGAACAGUAAUGUUCCAGCAACAGUGGAUGGGCUUCUUGCAAAGAUAGGGAUUGGCAUUGUCAAUCCCAUUCUGGGCAACGGGGUUCUUCCGCUGGCCAGCCCGGUUAUUAUAUAACCGGCCGUCAGCCGGUCCUGCCUGUGGGAUCGGAUCGACGUAAUCAGCAGGCUGGCUCGAUACCUUAUCUUUUGGGCGUUGGGCGAGAACGUAAAAAGAUAGCUGGUUAGGCAUCCUGUCUAUCGGAGGCUUGAUCGGUGAACAUAAGUAGAUAGGCUACGCAUGUAGAAGCAUUCUUUACGGUACUCGAGGACGCGAGUUCGAUUCUCGCCACCUCCACCA
Molecule: transfer-messenger RNA, 433 nt
Filed under: Candidatus Omnitrophota bacterium
Lineage: Bacteria; Pseudomonadati; Candidatus Omnitrophota
Rfam family: transfer-messenger RNA
About the family: Bacterial tmRNA, also known as 10Sa RNA or SsrA, is named for its dual tRNA and mRNA-like properties. Its role is to liberate the mRNA from a stalled ribosome. To accomplish this part of the tmRNA is used as a reading frame that ends in a translation stop signal.
Source: RNAcentral